This 421-nucleotide ribosomal RNA is filed under the name uncultured bacterium. Its description in RNAcentral is "partial 16S ribosomal RNA". It matches the Rfam family "Bacterial small subunit ribosomal RNA", at positions 360 to 773 of the family's 1533-position model. The record is from RNAcentral.
ACUUUUGGACAUUGGGGGCAACCCGCAUCCAGCCAUCCCGGGUGUGAGAUGAAGGUCUCGGGAUUGUAAGGCGCUUUUGGAAGGGCAGACAAGGCUCUGGCUAACAACUGGGGCUGCUGACGGUACGUGCAGAAUAAGGACCGCAUAACUACGUGCCAGAAGCCGCGGUAAUACGUAGGGUGCAAGCGUUAAUCGGAAUUACUGGGCGUAAAGCGUGCGCAGGCGGUUCGGCAAGAAGGAUGUGAAAUCCCAGGGCUUAACCUUGGAACUGCAUUCUUAACUGCCGGGCUAGAGUAUGUCAGAGGGGGGUAGAAUUCCGCGUGUAGCAGUGAAAUGCGUAGAGAUGCGGAGGAAUACCGAUGGCGAAGGCAGCCCCCUGGGAUAAUACUGACGCUCAUGCACGAAAGCGUGGGGAGCAAAC